This 483-nucleotide ribosomal RNA is filed under the name uncultured bacterium. RNAcentral's name for it is "bacterial SSU rRNA". It matches the Rfam family "Bacterial small subunit ribosomal RNA", at positions 501 to 987 of the family's 1533-position model. The record is from RNAcentral.
CUACGUGCCAGCAGCCGCGGUAAUACGGAAGGUUCGGGCGUUAUCCGGAUUUAUUGGGUUUAAAGGGAGCGUAGGCCGUGGAUUAAGCGUGUUGUGAAAUGUAGACGCUCAACGUCUGAAUUGCAGCGCGAACUGGUUCACUUGAGUAUGCACAACGUUGGCGGAAUUCGUCGUGUAGCGGUGAAAUGCUUAGAUAUGACGAAGAACGCCGAUUGCGAAGGCAGCUGACGGGAGCGCAACUGACGCUGAAGCUCGAAGGUGCGGGUAUCGAACAGGAUUAGAUACCCUGGUAGUCCGCMCAGUAAACGAUGGAUGCCCGCUGUUGGUACCUGGUAUCAGCGGCUAAGCGAAAGCAUUAAGCAUCCCACCUGGGGAGUACGCCGGCAACGGUGAAACUCAAAGGAAUUGACGGGGGCCCGCACAAGCGGUGGAGUAUGUGGUUUAAUUCGACGCAACGCGAAGAACCUUACCAGGUCUUGACAU